GGAGGGGUGGCCGAGUCCGGUUUAAGGCUGCCGUCUCGAAAACGGUUGGCGCCAAAAGCGUCCGUGGGUUCGAAUCCCACCCCCUCCG
This 88-nucleotide transfer RNA is filed under the name Leptospirillum sp. Group II '5-way CG'. Its description in RNAcentral is "tRNA-Ser". It matches the Rfam family "tRNA". Rfam says of the family: Transfer RNA (tRNA) molecules are approximately 80 nucleotides in length. The record is from RNAcentral. Lineage: Bacteria; Pseudomonadati; Nitrospirota; Nitrospiria; Nitrospirales; Nitrospiraceae.